UGGGGAAUAUUGCACAAUGGGCGCAAGCCUGAUGAAGCCAUGCCGCGUGUAUGAAGAAGGCCUUCGGGUUGUAAAGUACUUUCAGCGAGGAGGAAGGCGGUAAGGUUAAUAACCUUAUCGAUUGACGUUACUCGCAGAAGAAGCACCGGCUAACUCCGUGCCAGCAGCCGCGGUAAUACGGAGGGUGCAAGCGUUAAUCGGAAUUACUGGGCGUAAAGCGCACGCAGGCGGUCUGUCAAGUCGGAUGUGAAAUCCCCGGGCUCAACCUGGGAACUGCAUUCGAAACUGGCAGGCUAGAGUCUUGUAGAGGGGGGUAGAAUUCCAGGUGUAGCGGUGAAAUGCGUAGAGAUCUGGAGGAAUACCGGUGGCGAAGGCGGCCCCCUGGACAAAGACUGACGCUCAGGUGCGAAAGCGUGGGGAGCAAACA
Molecule: ribosomal RNA, 427 nt
Filed under: uncultured bacterium
Lineage: Bacteria
Description: partial 16S ribosomal RNA
Rfam family: Bacterial small subunit ribosomal RNA
Source: RNAcentral